UACGAAGGGGGCUAGCGUUGCUCGGAAUCACUGGGCGUAAAGGGUGCGUAGGCGGGUCUGUAAGUCAGGGGUGAAAUCCUGGAGCUCAACUCCAGAACUGCCUUUGAUACUGAGGAUCUUGAGUUCGGGAGAGGUGAGUGGAACUGCGAGUGUAGAGGUGAAAUUCGUAGAUAUUCGCAAGAACACCAGUGGCGAAGGCGGCUCACUGGCCCGAUACUGACGCUGAGGCACGAAAGCGUGGGGAGCAAACAGG
RNAcentral lists this ribosomal RNA (253 nucleotides) under uncultured bacterium. RNAcentral's name for it is "partial 16S ribosomal RNA". It matches the Rfam family "Bacterial small subunit ribosomal RNA", at positions 524 to 776 of the family's 1533-position model. The record is from RNAcentral.